AGAAAUCACAGGAGCUGCAAAGACCCAACAGAGUACUGGUUUAGAAGACAGUGAACAGCAUAAACACAAAAGCGUAUAACGUGAAAGGUACCCAGGAGUAAGGACCUGUAAUAAUGUGAAGAAUGAGAACAGCAUAUGAGCAGCAGACAGCAUUCCCCUCUACAACCCGGCUAAGAAUCCUUCCGCUAGCAAUCAUCGCAGAGAAAUAUUCAUGCUCUAAAGAAACACAAGUGGCAAUAGAUUAACAUUGCUGGUGGAACAGCAAAACAAGCACAGAAGCACACCGUCUCCUUUUUGGACACCAUCCCCCAAAUGCUGCCUGGAGAGCUGACGAGCAGUGCACCUGAGGCCAGCAUGACCCCUCUGGUGAGGGGAGGAGAUUCUAGAAGUUGCAGCUGUAGGAAACGCAUGCAAGGAAAGGUUACAGCAAACCAGGCCAUCACAGCGAAGCAGAAUCAUCUCUAAAAAUCAGGUCAGUCUUUUCUUCCAUACAUGUGCAUUUGGUUAAGAGCACAAACAAACUGGCACUGUGGUGGAAUAGUAAACAUUAAGGGUGACUCUUGGGUCUUGUGGCUCUUCCAGAGCUGUGCUGCCAAGUUCCCUCAGUGCUGUGGGGCAGAUGUGGUCAGGGGGAGGUGAAACAUCUCUCAGCUGAGGAAUGAUCAGCCUGGAGCCCAGAGCUCUUUCAGAGCAUGGGCUGCUGCUCAGAAAUCCUUCCUGUUCCCUACACGGCAUCUACACGGCAUACACAAGACUAAUGCCUGAGGCAAACCAGAGCCUGUGUGCAGCACUUACCUGCAGCUUUGCUCUCACCUGCAGUGUACCUGUUACACGCCAGUCCUUUGUGGAGAAUUUCCAGUUCAAUGCCUGUCAAGUUACCAACAGCAGCAGACUGAGGUGUCACUUUCCAGGGCAACAUUUUGUUGCACAGACAUGUAAGUCAGAUCAAGUCCUGAGCAACCUCAAAGCCACUGAGGAAUGAAUGAAUAAAUAAAUAAAGCAGCAUCUAAUGAAAGCAACAAGCAUUGAGAGUGGCAACUCCUACCUGUUCUGCUACAAAAAAAAUCCUUUUGUUAACAUUAAUAUUUGGCAGCUGGUGUAGAACACACAAGGGCAUUUUAGUUGGGUUUUAAAGAAAGAAAUUGACACAGAAAGAAGGCAAUGAUUUUUUUAAUAGAGGAUCUCUCCGGGGGGUUUGUGUUCAUAUCACCAAUAUUCACUUUAUUACAUUUUAUGGAAUGGAGUUUAAAUGCCAGUAUAUACAAGCCAACAUUUCAUUAUUGGAGUUUGUGUUUAUUCACUUGCUAUUGUCAGUCCGUUCCCCUUUGUCUUUUUGUGCUGCUCUUUGUAAAAUCUAUGAUUUAUGAAUAUGUGGCUUAGAUCCUUCACAAUAUAGUGUGUUGGAGUGGUUCAAUAAAAAGUUAUUAAAGUAAAAAAAAAAAAUCUAUAGUUUGAUGUGCUUUGCCCACCUUCUAUAGCAAGUCCCACUGCAUGUAUGAGGCUGUAACAUGGACUACACGCUGAGAGGCCUCGGUCAGCCAAAACUCCUGCUGACUAGCAGCCAGUGCAGGCAAUUAUGGUUUUGCCUACAAAACUGCGGGAUUACACCCUCAAAUUUAUGAAAGUUGCAUAGACUAAAAAGAGGGAAAAAAAUCUGCCAUAAAACAUUCAUUUUAAAAUCCAGUAGCCUAAAGAUACAUAGCACCAAAUGCCAUUUGGUUCCCAAAGAUUCAGUGUUUGAAGCGUGCACCACGUAUUCAACUUAUUUCUGUAACGGAGCUCUCAGUCCUGCUAGUUGCCGAAUGAGUAAAGCCAACUGGCAGUCUCCAUAGCCCACUUAGAACAUGAAUUGCUGCAGAAACUUAGUGUUUUUUUCAGCCUCAAAUAGAGAGUAAAAGAUUGAUUUGGAUCAUCGUACCCUGGCUCCCCAUGCAUGUUUUUUUUCCCCAGCAGUACUGCUGACUCACCGCAGCUGCAGAGCCAUACAAACAGGGGACAAGAAAUUGGCCGCUCUUGUUUACGGCUGGCAAGAAACAAGAGCUGCUCAUAAGGCACUCUCCAGAGUGAAGAGGAAUCUAUUUGUGAGGAAGACAUGGAGAUAGCAGAAUCUGCUCAACUGCAGCACAACAGCAAACAGCACAACAGUAAGAGUAGUAGAUAGAUUACAAAACAGUUCUGCUGCCUGUAGUUCCUGCUCCCAAAUCUCUGAAAAAACACAGCUCUACCAACGAAGAGCCCCUCCACCUGUCUCAGGGAUGGGUAACUUCAGCAAGCGAGGAUUACUUCAGUGAGUCAGCCAGGCAUUACAAACAGCGAGGCACACAACCGCGCUGCUGCCAGCAGCGCUGAAAUCACUGCUCUGGCACCGCAGCAUCCCCAGGACAAGGAAGCGCCACGCGCAGGAGCCCUUCCUCUAUGCACAGCACACUGCUGCCUUUGGGUUCACUUCCUUGAACAGAGGAGCUAUUGAGUCAGCCGUCACGGUCCCUCUGUUGCUGUUAUCUCUUGCAAACAAAGAACAUCAUCUAUAAUCCUACAUCCUCUUAGAAACUAGAAGGUUCCAACCUACUCCAGGUUACCAGGAUAAUUUUGCCGCCUCUAGUAGUCCGUGGCCUGCCACAUGCAGUCCUGUGCACCCAUCCCUGGCCAGAUGAGAGGCUGCAUGCUGGAAUGGAGAGCCAGUACAAGCCCAAGGGCCCAGCAGAGCCACUCAGCUGAACAAGCAAGUGUCCAGAGUCAAUGUCGCUACUGCUGAAGCACGAAGGCUUUGCAUCUAAUGUACCCCACACGCUGUUCUGCUCCAUACCUCAGGAAUCACAACAGAGCAUUUUGUCCACGGCGGAUUCACUGAGGUCAGAUACCUAGAGGCUCGCUGGCAGGAUCCCU
Molecule: long non-coding RNA, 2886 nt
Organism: Cygnus olor (mute swan)
Lineage: Eukaryota; Metazoa; Chordata; Aves; Anseriformes; Anatidae
Exons: 5
Source: RefSeq, a predicted model, not a curated record